Long non-coding RNA from Chinchilla lanigera (long-tailed chinchilla), 254 nucleotides. RefSeq lists it as uncharacterized. The record is from RefSeq and is a predicted model, not a curated record. The transcript is spliced from 2 exons. NCBI's taxonomy places the organism in Eukaryota, Metazoa, Chordata, Mammalia, Rodentia, Chinchillidae.
UGUCAUGGCGCUGAAGUGCAUGUCCGCAGCAAAUUGCUGAGAACCGUACCUGAAGAUAUACUUCUGUGAUUUUAAUGGCUGCAGGCUGCUUGGGAAGGACUCUAGGAGACCCUGAAUCACGCAAUGGAGGCAGUGACCUUUGAGGAUGUGGCUGUGAACUUCACUCUGGAGGAGUGGGCUUUGCUGAAUCCAUCCCAAAAGAAGCUCUUCAGAGAUGUGAUGGGGGAAACCUUUAGGAACAUGGCUGCUAUAGG